CCUACGGGAGGCUGCAGUGAGGAAUAUUGGUCAAUGGGCGGAAGCCUGAACCAGCCAAGUAGCGUGCAGGAUGACGGCCCUACGGGUUGUAAACUGCUUUUAUACGGGAAUAACUCGCCUUACGUAUACGGCUUUGCAUGUACCCUAUGAAUAAGGACCGGCUAAUUCCGUGCCAGCCGCCGCGGUAAUACGGAAGGUCCGGGCGUUAUCCGGAUUUAUUGGGGUUAAAGGGAGCGUAGGCCGCCUGUUAAGCCUGCUGUGAAAUGUCCGGGCUCAACCGUAAAAUUGCAGUUGAAACUGGCAGGCUUGAGUACAGUAGAGGUGGGCGGAAUUCGUGGUGUAGCGGUGAAAUGCUUAGAUAUCACGAAGAACUCCGAUUGCGAAGGCAGCUCACUGGACUGUAACUGACGUUGAGGCUCGAAAGCGUGGGGAGCAAACAGGAUUAGAUACCCGAGUAGUC
RNAcentral lists this ribosomal RNA (460 nucleotides) under uncultured bacterium. RNAcentral describes it as "partial 16S ribosomal RNA". It matches the Rfam family "Bacterial small subunit ribosomal RNA", at positions 338 to 795 of the family's 1533-position model. The record is from RNAcentral.